RNAcentral lists this ribosomal RNA (250 nucleotides) under uncultured bacterium. RNAcentral describes it as "partial 16S ribosomal RNA". It matches the Rfam family "Bacterial small subunit ribosomal RNA", at positions 524 to 773 of the family's 1533-position model. The record is from RNAcentral.
UACGUAUGUCCCGAGCGUUAUCCGGAUUUAUUGGGCGUAAAGCGAGCGCAGACGGUUGAUUAAGUCUGAUGUGAAAUCCCGGAGCCUAACUCCGGAACUGCAUUGGAAACUGGUUUACUUGAGUGCGAUAGAGGCAAGUGGAACUCCAUGUGUAGCGGUGAAAUGCGUAGAUAUGUGGAAGAACACCAGUGGCGAAGGCGGCUUGCUAGAUCGUAACUGACGUUGAGGCUCGAAAGUAUGGGUAGCAAAC